RNAcentral lists this ribosomal RNA (374 nucleotides) under uncultured bacterium. RNAcentral describes it as "bacterial SSU rRNA". It matches the Rfam family "Bacterial small subunit ribosomal RNA", at positions 524 to 898 of the family's 1533-position model. The record is from RNAcentral.
UACGGAGGGGGCUAGCGUUGUUCGGAAUUACUGGGCGUAAAGCGCACGCAGGCGGUCUGACAAGUUGGAUGUGAAAUCCCGGAGCUCAACUCCGGAACUGCAUUCAAAACUGUCAGGCUAGAGUCCGGAAGAGGAGAGUGGAAUUCCCAGUGUAGAGGUGAAAUUCGUAGAUAUUGGGAAGAACACCAGUGGCGAAGGCGGCUCUCUGGUCCGGUACUGACGCUCAGGUGCGAAAGCGUGGGGAGCAAACAGGAUUAGAUACCCUGGUAGUCCACGCUGUAAACUAUGAGUGCUAGACGUUGGGGGGCUUGCCCCUCAGUGUCGCAGCUAACGCUUUAAGCACUCCGCCUGGGGAGUACGGUCGCAAGAUUAAA